Molecule: small RNA, 1223 nt
Filed under: Oryza sativa Japonica Group (Japanese rice)
Lineage: Eukaryota; Viridiplantae; Streptophyta; Magnoliopsida; Poales; Poaceae
Description: sRNA Os03g0862150
Source: RNAcentral
CUAGUCUGUCUUGAAUCUGUGUACAAACUUCUCCAGGCCCUCUUUGCAGUCCUCCACCACCCUCUUCGACUUAUCCCCAAUGGUUGAACCAAACACGUAGACAUUGUCCUGUGCUUCGGAUGACAACUUCUUUGCCUUCAAAGCUGCAGCAGCCCCUAGAUCUGUAAAUCGCUGCGUUGCUUCUUCUGCUCCCUGCUUUAGAAUUGAGAUGAAAGACCUCACAUGCUGUAUUACUCUCUCCAGGGAAUGGCAAGACCGGACUUUUAUCUCAGCAGACAUUGACUUCAGCUUCUCCAGCAAAGACCCAGCUCGGUUAAUUGCUUCGUCAACUUGAUGUUCUUUGCCAGCAUUGGCCCAUGUGACUCCAGCUGAUGCAUCAUCUUCAAGCCCUCCUUCAACAACAACCUUGAUUCCAUGACGCUCCCAUUGGUUCCGGGCUUCCUCAAGGGCCCUGGCAUGCUCCCUGGCCUUCUUUGCUUCAUCCUCUGCCCAAGCCCUGGUUAAAGAUGCGCAUCCUUCCUCUCAACUUCAAGUUCAUAUUGAAGCUGCACAACAGCCUGUCUGUCAUUCUCUAUUUCCGUUUGGAGUUUCUCAAUCCUAUUCUUCUCAAACGAGAUCUCCACCUUCUUGCUCAGCACACUUUGCAGCUGUUCCUCUACUUCACUCCUCAAUUUUGAGAGAACUUCCAUUUCAGAUUCAACAGAAGCUCUGCCCCUAAUCAGAGCAUUAUUUUCUUCCACUCUUUCUGCUCUCAACUUGUCCAAUUCAACCCUAGCUUCUUCAGCUAACUUUUCAAGUCUCUCUAUUUUUUCUCUUUCCUUUGUAAGCUCUCUCUCAAAAGUGGCAUUCAGAUCUUUCUCAACCUGAGCAACGAGUUCACCAUGUGCAUUUACAGCAUCUUCAGCUAUUUUCUCUGCUUCAAUACGAGCAAGCUCCUCCAUAACCACAUCAGCAGAAUCACCAGUUGAAAGUGCAAGAGCCACUUGUCCUUUCGUCACGGGUUUAUCCGGCUGGAAGAGCCUUGUAAAACCUUUGAAAAGAGCUUACUGUAAUGCUCUGGUCUCCAGCAUCCAAGUCAGCCACCAAAGCGGGCCAAGCAGCUGCAUUUAUUUUAUCAACGUCCAUAUAUCCAGAAGCUUUGUACAUAGACUGCCCACAGAAAGUAAUUGCCUUUUAUCCAAAGCCAUCUUCCAACUCACGAGGUCUUGACGUGACACAGGACU